CUACCCUGUGGACGGGAAUACUCUCGGGAAACUGAGGCUAAUCCCCGAUAACGCUUUGCUCCUGGAAGGGGCAAAGCCGGAAACGCUCCGGCGCCACAGGAUGCGGCUGCGGUCGAUUAGGUAGACGGUGGGGUAACGGCCCACCGUGCCCAUAAUCGGUACGGGUUGUGAGAGCAAGAGCCCGGAGACGGAAUCUGAGACAAGAUUCCGGGCCCUACGGGGCGCAGCAGGCGCGAAACCUUUACACUGUACGAAAGUGCGAUAAGGGGACUCCGAGUGUGAAGGCAUAGAGCCUUCACUUUUGUACACCGUAAGGUGGUGCACGAAUAAGGACUGGGCAAGACCGGUGCCAGCCGCCGCGGUAAUACCGGCAGUCCGAGUGAUGGCCGAUCUUAUUGGGCCUAAAGCGUCCGUAGCUGGCUGAACAAGUCCGUUGGGAAAUCUGUCCGCUUAACGGGCAGGCGUCCAGCGGAAACUGUUCAGCUUGGGACCGGAAGACCUGAGGGGUACGUCUGGGGUAGGAGUGAAAUCCUGUAAUCCUGGACGGACCGCCGGUGGCGAAAGCGCCUCAGGAGAACGGAUCCGACAGUGAGGGACGAAAGCUAGGGUCUCGAACCGGAUUAGAUACCCGGGUAGUCCUAGCUGUAAACGAUGUCCGCUAGGUGUGGCGCAGGCUACGAGCCUGCGCUGU
Molecule: ribosomal RNA, 691 nt
Filed under: Halobacterium sp.
Lineage: Archaea; Methanobacteriati; Methanobacteriota; Halobacteria; Halobacteriales; Halobacteriaceae
Description: bacterial SSU rRNA
Rfam family: Archaeal small subunit ribosomal RNA
Source: RNAcentral